This 492-nucleotide ribosomal RNA is filed under the name uncultured bacterium. RNAcentral's name for it is "partial 16S ribosomal RNA". It matches the Rfam family "Bacterial small subunit ribosomal RNA", at positions 29 to 507 of the family's 1533-position model. The record is from RNAcentral.
AGUGAACGCUGGCGGUAGGCCUAACACAUGCAAGUCGAACGGCAGCACAGUAAGAGCUUGCUCUUACGGGUGGCGAGUGGCGGACGGGUGAGGAAUACAUCGGAAUCUACUUUUUCGUGGGGGAUAACGUAGGGAAACUUACGCUAAUACCGCAUACGACCUACGGGUGAAAGCAGGGGAUCUUCGGACCUUGCGCGAUUGAAUGAGCCGAUGUCGGAUUAGCUAGUUGGCAGGGUAAAGGCCCACCAAGGCGACGAUCCGUAGCUGGUCUGAGAGGAUGAUCAGCCACACUGGAACUGAGACACGGUCCAGACUCCUACGGGAGGCAGCAGUGGGGAAUAUUGGACAAUGGGCGCAAGCCUGAUCCAGCCAUACCGCGUGGGUGAAGAAGGCCUUCGGGUUGUAAAGCCCUUUUGUUGGGAAAGAAAAGCAGCAGGUUAAUACCCCGCUGUCCUGACGGUACCCAAAGAAUAAGCACCGGCUAACUUCGUG